This 439-nucleotide ribosomal RNA is filed under the name uncultured bacterium. RNAcentral's name for it is "partial 16S ribosomal RNA". It matches the Rfam family "Bacterial small subunit ribosomal RNA", at positions 339 to 795 of the family's 1533-position model. The record is from RNAcentral.
CUACGGGUCGCUGCAGUGGGGAAUAUUGCACAAUGGAGGAAACUCUGAUGCAGCAACGCCGCGUGGAGGAUGACACAUUUCGGUGCGUAAACUCCUUUUAUAUAAGAAGAUGAUGACGGUAUUAUAUGAAUAAGCACCGGCUAACUCCGUGCCAGCAGCCGCGGUAAUACGGGGGGUGCAAGCGUUACUCGGAAUCACUGGGCGUAAAGCGAGCGCAGGCGGGUAGAUAAGUUGGAAGUGAAAUCCUAUGGCUUAACCAUAGAACUGCUUCCAAAACUGUUUACCUAGAAUAUGGGAGAGGUAGAUGGAAUUUCUGGUGUAGGGGUAAAAUCCGUAGAGAUCAGAAGGAAUACCGAUUGCGAAGGCGAUCUACUGGAACAUUAUUGACGCUGAGGCUCGAAAGCGUGGGGAGCAAACAGGAUUAGAUACCCGAGUAGUC